GAAAAUUUUCACCUUUAACAACCGUGUUAGUGCAAGGAUUAUGAGACACAUUCAAUGCUUGACUUUGAACUGCAAAAGUGGAUGCUCACUUCUCUCUAAACCUAAUUCUCUCCCUGUCCUCUAAAACUUCAAAAACUCGAUCUUUAGUUUCUCAGUUUUAAGGGAGGUCCGGCCUUUUAGCCGUCGAGCCUCCCCCUCUAUCUCUUUUCUUUAGUUUUUUUUAGCUUGUAUUUUUGUUGUAGUGCUGUUACCAGAUCCGAAGUUUAGUUUCCCUCCUUGGAUGGAGUUUGUUGUUCUAUUUCUUUGUUUUGUAU
This 314-nucleotide unclassified non-coding RNA is filed under the name Hevea brasiliensis (rubber tree). The record is from RNAcentral. Lineage: Eukaryota; Viridiplantae; Streptophyta; Magnoliopsida; Malpighiales; Euphorbiaceae.